Equus caballus (horse) is the source of this 1489-nucleotide long non-coding RNA. RefSeq lists it as uncharacterized. The record is from RefSeq and is a predicted model, not a curated record. NCBI's taxonomy places the organism in Eukaryota, Metazoa, Chordata, Mammalia, Perissodactyla, Equidae.
CAAGCCCAGCCAGGGGCCCUGGCGGUUUCAUUUCAGAGAUUAAAUUAUCUCUUUGCAACAGCAACUAAAUGAUGCAGAAAGGAAUUCAAGCGGAGCUAACUGCAAAUCUGCCAGAUGGGAAGGUGUGGGAGGCGAGGGCCAGGCAGUUCUGACAGGGCCAGCCUCUCCUGUCUCAGCCUAGUCCUUGCGAUAGUAACGGGAGUUAGGGAGGCAAAUUAGAUACAGAGAGCGCUAUUGAAAGAAUUUCAGCUCUGAGGACAAUGGCACCUGUGAUCCUAUAAAGCACGUGAGAAAUGAUGAAGACAUUUUCCUCCACAACACAUUCAGGACUGCAGAAUAGCAAUGGGAGCUGUCGUUUAGGAUAAAGAUACUGAAAACAUAUUGGACACUUUGGAACACAAGAUGAAGAUUUCGUUGGGACUUUCAGUCAAGAUGGCUCAGUUAGUUCCUUCCUCAACGCCUGUGCUCCAAACCCAUGGAAAGGGCAGGAUAUUAAUGGGGAGGAGAUAGAGCAAAGUUCAUAAGGGAGAUGAUCUUCUCUGUGCACGAAGAAAGAGACAGGAAGGCCAAAUGCGAGCAGGGCUACAAGGAGGACCUAGUGGCUCCCAGGUCUGGAAGCAGCACUGGAAUCCAGGGCUUGACUCCUGUAAAGGGGACUAAAAGUGCUCACGGCACACAGGAACUCGUGCACAGCUCACGGCGUGAGGCCAGGGGCUGGGGUGAGGUUCCUCGCCUCGAAGCACAGGUGCAAGGAUGCUGAAACUAAAUGACUUUGUCCCAAUUCCGCCUGGGACUUUGGCUUUUAGAAAGCUGCUAGCCUCGGGGGAAACAAGGACACAGAUAUGGAUUCACAUCCAGGAACUCAGCUGAGCUGCCCAUGGCUGAUGGCCUGGACCAGUGACAUUUCCCAUCUGACAGCACAGCAGGAACCCAAAGCACUAGCGUGGAGCGUGAUUGUGUCUGGAGAUCUUUAGGGCUGGAUGAAGACAGCUCAGAACUCCCAGGCAGGUGAGCAGCCGAGCUAGACAAAGGGUAAGGACUUGACCACGGUGGAAGCUAGUCAACGGUAGAGACGGGAUUCAAACCCGGAUGGCCUGGCUCUGGGACCUCAGUCUGGACUUGGACACGGUGUAGCCUCUGCGGAUGAAAGAAGGUGCGUGUUUCCAAAAGCAACUUGACACUUACAGUCCUUGCAGGAAGCCUCUGAGGUGUCACCUCGUGUGCACUCUCUUCAGGUAAAGAGACUCAAUAUUACGAAAGUUUACGUGUUCUAGCACUUUUUCUCAUUAAAUAUAAAGUCACUUUUUAGUGAUUGGGUUAGACAAACCCUGUCCAUAGCCUAAAGCUGGAUUUUCUCCUAAACAGUGAUUAUCAGAACUUUUCUAUUUUAGAAAACCAAAUGAAGAAUGAGGCAGGCUUUUCUUUUCUUUGCUGAGGAAGAUUCACCCUGAACUAACAUCUGUGUCAAUCUUCCUCUGUUUUAUAUGUG